AACCCCGCUCUACAAAUAAAUACCCAAAUCAUGCGAAAGUAAGGAAGUGUUCUUUACUAAUAACUCCCGACGUUACGUUGUCGGCCGCCAACGUAACCCUCCGCGAAGUUAGAAGCUAUACACUUCGAUUCAACUCCAACUUUUUAGAGUUAUAAUAAAACCCAAUCAUGAUACUUUCGCUUACGAAUCAAAUAAAUCUCGUCUCUCACGAGCCUAUUUCCUAUA
Molecule: long non-coding RNA, 225 nt
Filed under: Ananas comosus (pineapple)
Lineage: Eukaryota; Viridiplantae; Streptophyta; Magnoliopsida; Poales; Bromeliaceae
Description: long non-coding RNA (ACOM_LNC005418)
Source: RNAcentral